Molecule: long non-coding RNA, 998 nt
Organism: Olea europaea var. sylvestris
Lineage: Eukaryota; Viridiplantae; Streptophyta; Magnoliopsida; Lamiales; Oleaceae
Exons: 3
Source: RefSeq, a predicted model, not a curated record
UAUCCACUCUUAAUGCUAAUUGCUAAAUAUAUGGAAAACUGCACUCACCCUUUCAAACCAAAAUCUGAAAGGUAGCUUAAAAAUAGACUGCUGUAAUUAAAAGGUUAACUAGUUUCUUUAGAUACUUAAUCUUUGUGGCAUUAUGAGUAGCAAUUAAUGAAAUUUGAGCAAUUUUUCCCAUAUUAGAGGAUAUGAUUGCAGAUAACCUCUACAGCAACCAUAUAGUUAGGCUUUAUUCAUAAUAAACUUUGGGCUAUGAUGCUUCGUCGCUAUAUCUUAGAAAACAAUAGUUUUUCCUUCUUAUUCCUCAAACUGAAAGGGGAGCUUAUAUGGUGGUGUUUUUUUCUUGGGUGGAAAGGGAUUUUUGGUAAUUAGUACUUUGAUAUAAUGCACUUUAGAAGCUACAAACUUCUGGAUGUUCUUAUGCCUAACUUUUUCAUUCCAACAACACUUGACAGGGUCUAAAAGUUGCUGCUACUCGAUAUUUGGGGCUUAGAAGCGUAGCGCAAUUACUUGGCCCAAUGAUGUGGGGUACCCUUCUGGCGGAUGUUGUGAUUCAAAUGCUUGGAACUGACUAUGCUAGGAUCCUGCGAGCUGUAUAUGCAUUUGCACAGAUUCGAAUCUAUCGCUCUUAUGGAAUUGCAUCUGAUUAUUAAGUAAUAAGGUUCGCAUUUGGUGCUUGCCAAUCUUCUCAUAAAAGUGAUUGAUGCCACGUUUGGAUCUUGAGCUAUAGUAACGCUAAAAGGUAUUUCUUUGAGUAAUUAGAUAUUUGCUGGUAGAAAACUUUGUAUAAAUUUGACUAUAAUCUUUUCGUCACCUUAUUAGGGCCUGGCCAUGAAUAUCUCUACAGGAUUUUAUAUAAGUUAGCUAUUGGGUGUAUAUAUCAUUUUAGUUUGAACUAGAAUUUUUGGUCGAUGGAAUGAGCUGCAAUAUUGAGUUGUUUCAUUUUAGACAAUUGAUUGCCACUUCAUGUUAAUAUCAGACAAUUAUUGUGCCAA